RNAcentral lists this long non-coding RNA (311 nucleotides) under Nicotiana benthamiana. RNAcentral's name for it is "long non-coding RNA (NBEN_LNC018169)". Lineage: Eukaryota; Viridiplantae; Streptophyta; Magnoliopsida; Solanales; Solanaceae. The record is from RNAcentral.
UCUGCUUGACUUGAGACUCCCCCAUCAGAACUCUACCAUCCUCGCCCUUGAUGCACCUAACUUGGUCAAGAUCACGUGCCUUCCUUUCCCUUGCUUUAGUUAACCGGAAUAACUUCAUAUCCCCGCCGCUCUCUCUAGUUCCUCGUACAUGCGACCAAACCCCGCGUUUUUAGCUUCCGUAACCGCCAGCUUUGCUUCUUUCCUCGCCACCUUGUAGAUCUCCCUGUUCGCUCUCCGUUCUUCCUCGCUUAUGCUCCCUGCCAACUUAGCAAACGCCGCCUUCUUCACCUCCACUUUUCCUUCGACUACAU